GUGAGGAAUAUUGGACAAUGGAGGAGACUCUGAUCCAGCCAUGCCGCGUGCAGGAAGACGGCCCUAUGGGUUGUAAACUGCUUUUAUACGGGAAGAAAAACAGCUACGUGUAGUUGACUGACGGUACCGUAAGAAUAAGGACCGGCUAACUCCGUGCCAGCAGCCGCGGUAAUACGGAGGGUCCGAGCGUUAUCCGGAAUUAUUGGGUUUAAAGGGUCCGUAGGCGGGCCAUUAAGUCAGGGGUGAAAGUCUGCGGCUCAACCGUAGAAUUGCCUUUGAUACUGGUGGUCUUGAGUUAUGGUGAAGUGGCUGGAAUAUGUAGUGUAGCGGUGAAAUGCAUAGAUAUUACAUAGAACACCGAUUGCGAAGGCAGGUCACUAACCAUAUACUGACGCUGAUGGACGAAAGCGUGGGGAGCGAACAGGAUUAGAAACCCCAGUAGUCC
RNAcentral lists this ribosomal RNA (445 nucleotides) under uncultured bacterium. RNAcentral's name for it is "bacterial SSU rRNA". It matches the Rfam family "Bacterial small subunit ribosomal RNA", at positions 354 to 796 of the family's 1533-position model. The record is from RNAcentral.